RNAcentral lists this transfer RNA (67 nucleotides) under Analcellicampa danfengensis. RNAcentral describes it as "tRNA-Ile". The record is from RNAcentral. Lineage: Eukaryota; Metazoa; Arthropoda; Insecta; Hymenoptera; Tenthredinidae.
AAUGAUGUGCCUGAGAAAAAGGAUUAUUUUGAUAGAGUAAAUAAUGUAAUUUUUAUUACCUUCAUUA